GGUCUACAUCACUGCCCCUUCUGCAGAUACAAAGGGUCAAAAUGUGAUAUCGACCAUCACAUUAAAUGCCAUGCCUCGGUUAAAUACAGAGGUCUGCAGAGGAGCUUUCAGGAAGCAGGAAGAGAAGACGGGAGGAAAAAAAGCUACAGACAAAACUGAAGACCAGGAACUGGAACCUGGGAACCUGGUAUG
This is a long non-coding RNA of Gadus morhua (Atlantic cod), 192 nucleotides long. RefSeq lists it as uncharacterized. NCBI's taxonomy places the organism in Eukaryota, Metazoa, Chordata, Actinopteri, Gadiformes, Gadidae. The record is from RefSeq and is a predicted model, not a curated record. The transcript has 3 exons.